GGAAUUUCUAUGCAAGGAGAGGAUGAUGGCUCAUCCCCAGAAACAUCAAUAUGUGCCUCUGAUGAUUCUGAUGUAGGAAUUAUUGAAAAUUGUCCUGUUGAGAAAGAUUUGGAUUUAGCUCAAGAAGAGAAAAUUGAUCAACAAAUGUCUCUUUCAAUGGAAAAAAUUGAGUUAUUGACAGAGAAACUUGCUACAAGUUCUAGUGAGAUGCUGGAGACCUCUGCCAUUAAAAGUACUGAAGACCCUGAUAGGAUGCAUGACGCCAAUAAGAAUGGCGACCUUGCCUUGUGUCAAGAAAAUCCAACUACAUUGCAUAAAGACACUGACAUGGUAGAAAAUGGGUUGCAUCAAGACUCAGAACAAACAGAGAUCAUUGGUGAUGAUGUGGUGGCAGAAUCAGAUGAGAAGCAAAUGAUCGAGGUUAAUGUGAUGGCAGAAUCAGAAGAACAGCAAGCUGCAAAAAGGCAGGUUAAUAUGAUGGCCGAAUCAGAUGAGAAGCAGAUGAUCGAAGUUAAUGUGAUGGCAGAAUCAAACGAGAAGCAAAUAAUCGGGAAUAAUGUGAUGGCUGAAUCAGAAGAACAGCAAGCUGCAAAAAGGCCGGUUAAUGUGAUGGCAGAAUCGGAAGAACAGCAAGCUGCAAAAAGGAGUCGGGUUACACCUCCAGAAGAAGGGGAGAGAGAUACCAUUGGAAGCCUGUCAAAGGAUCUCCAUUUGUAAUUUAGGAUGUAGGUGGAGCUGUCCUCUUAGAUUUUUGUUAACAUAAUUGUGAACCUGGAUCUCACUAGAUUUUGAUAUGCCAUUCUGUGAAUAGUGCCAUGGCCAUAUUUUAACAAUCAUUAGCUUGGGUUGUCUUGUAGGAAAAAGGAGAAAAUUGCAUCAAGUUCUUUUGUUAAUAAUUAAGCGACCAGAAUAUUUUUGGGCCUAGCAAAGGGAAUUAAAAUUCUUCUAGUUCAGGACUACAAGUUGUACUUUGCAAUUAUGUAAUGGUGAGCCUUUAGCUGCUUUGCAAAGAAGUACCAUUUUUUCCUCUGAAAUAGAACCCACAGCCAAUGAAAUUCAUAACAUAAAUCAAGCAUUUAUAUUACAUUUUCCUCCAAUGGUUGUGGGUUCUAUUU
Molecule: unclassified non-coding RNA, 1115 nt
Filed under: Hevea brasiliensis (rubber tree)
Lineage: Eukaryota; Viridiplantae; Streptophyta; Magnoliopsida; Malpighiales; Euphorbiaceae
Source: RNAcentral